AGCUUGCUUUUGGAUCGUUAGCGGCGGACGGGUGAGUAACACGUGGGCAACCUGCCCUGUAGACGGGGAUAACACCGAGAAAUCGGUGCUAAUACCGGAUAAUACGAAAGGCCGCAUGGUCUUUCGUUGAAAGGCGGCGCAAGCUGUCGCUACAGGAUGGGCCCGCGGCGCAUUAGCUAGUUGGUGAGGUAACGGCUCACCAAGGCGACGAUGCGUAGCCGACCUGAGAGGGUGAUCGGCCACACUGGGACUGAGACACGGCCCAGACUCCUACGGGAGGCAGCAGUAGGGAAUCUUCCGCAAUGGACGAAAGUCUGACGGAGCAACGCCGCGUGAGCGAAGAAGGCCUUCGGGUCGUAAAGCUCUGUUGUUAGGGAAGAACAAGUACCGCAGUCACUGGCGGUACCUUGACGGUACCUAACGAGGAAGCCACGGCUAACUACGUGCCAGCAGCCGCGGUAAUACGUAGGUGGCAAGCGUUGUCCGGAAUUAUUGGGCGUAAAGCGCGCGCAGGCGGUUCCUUAAGUCUGAUGUGAAAGCCCACGGCUCAACCGUGGAGGGUCAUUGGAAACUGGGGGACUUGAGUGCAAAAAAGGAAAGCGGAAUUCCACGUGUAGCGGUGAAAUGCGUAAAGAUGUGGAGGAACACCAGUGGCGAAGGCGGCUCUCUGGUCUGUAACUGACGCUAAGGCGCGAAAGCGUGGGGAGCAACAGGAUUGAUACCUGUUGUCCCCCCGUAACGAUGAGUCUAAGUUUAGAGGGUAUCCACCUUUAGUGCUUAGCUUACGCAUUAACCAUCCGCCUUGGGAGUACGCUCGCAGGAUGAAAUUCAAAGGAAUGACGGGGGCCCGCCCAAGCGGUGGGCCAGGGGUUAAAUUCGAGGCAACGGGAAGAACUUACCCAGUUCUUGACAUCCCCUGCCAACCGGAGGGUUGGGGCGUUCCCCCUUCGGGGGANCAGGGUGACAGGUGGUGCAUGGUUGUCGUCAGCUCGUGUCGUGAGAUGUUGGGUUAAGUCCCGCAACGAGCGCAACCCUCGACCUUAGUGCCAGCAUUCAGUUGGGCACUCUAAGGUGACUGCCGGCUAAAAGUCGGAGGAAGGUGGGGAUGACGUCAAAUCAUCAUGCCCCUUAUGACCUGGGCUACACACGUGCUACAAUGGGCGGUACAAAGGGUCGCGAACCCGCGAGGGGGAGCCAAUCCCAAAAAGCCGCUCUCAGUUCGGAUUGCAGGCUGCAACUCGCCUGCAUGAAGCCGGAAUCGCUAGUAAUCGCGGAUCAGCAUGCCGCGGUGAAUACGUUCCCGGGCCUUGUACACACCGCCCGUCACACCACGAGAGUUGCAACACCCGAAGUCGGUGAGGUAACCCUUA
Molecule: ribosomal RNA, 1370 nt
Filed under: Anoxybacillus sp. C245
Lineage: Bacteria; Bacillati; Bacillota; Bacilli; Caryophanales; Anoxybacillaceae
Description: 16S ribosomal RNA
Rfam family: Bacterial small subunit ribosomal RNA
Source: RNAcentral